AUGCCCAGAUUGUAUCUAAAAAUUUUCUCUAAUGUUCUACUUGUUUAUAGAUCAAAUCCUUACCUGAAUCAUAGUGGAACUAUGAAUCAAAUCCCAAAUUAUCUGAUAUAAACCUUCACGGAGGCUUGGAUAUGCAGAUCUUUUAUUUCGCAUGCACGUCAAACGCUACAGGAAAGCAAGAUGAACUCCAAGCCAAUUGACUUUGCAACUCAAUCAAUCGAGGGAUGAGAUGUGAUGAUGUGACACCUCACACCAACAGAUGGGAUGCCCAAGAAGGAUCCAUAUCCAAGGAGAGA
RNAcentral lists this long non-coding RNA (296 nucleotides) under Elaeis guineensis (African oil palm). Its description in RNAcentral is "long non-coding RNA (EGUI_LNC081722)". Lineage: Eukaryota; Viridiplantae; Streptophyta; Magnoliopsida; Arecales; Arecaceae. The record is from RNAcentral.